RNAcentral lists this long non-coding RNA (1300 nucleotides) under Sus scrofa (pig). Its description in RNAcentral is "lncRNA (ENSSSCG00050045218.1)". The record is from RNAcentral. Lineage: Eukaryota; Metazoa; Chordata; Mammalia; Artiodactyla; Suidae.
CAGAAGAGGAGGCCGCAGAAGCGCGCGGCUCUGCGGACCCAGAUGGAGCCAGCAGCGGCCGCAGCCCCAGGGGCUGAGCAGGCCUCCCAGAGGGCGAGGGAGUUCAAGGGCCUGGGGGCCCACACAGUGCAGUCAGGCCCACGUGCCUUGUCCCAGAGCUUUGCAGACAAGAACCUGCUACCCCUGACACCCCGGCAGCUGGCAGGUAAGGGCUCAGGACUGGAAGCUGGGAGGAAAACCAGGGGGUGCUCAGAGCAGAAUGCAACCGACUUGGCUGCCCAGGGGCUGGGAAGGCUGUGAGAAGCCAAGCCAGUGAUUGUAUUGGAACCUUCUCUCCCUGCCAGUCAGACUUGCUCAUCUCUGCUACCCCAGGGUUCACUGCUGGGGGUGGGUGGGGGAGUGUGAAGAAGGGAUGGAUGGAUGGAUUGGUGGAUAGAAAGCAUUUAGAGGAGUUCCUGUCGUGGCUCAGUGAUUAACGAAUCUGACUAGGAACGAUGAGGUUAUGGGUUCGAUCCCUGUCCUUGCUCAGUGGGUCAAGGAUCCGGUAUUGCUGUGGGCUGUGGUGUAGGUUGCAGAUGUGGCUCAGAUCCAGCGCUGCUAUGGCUCUGGCAUAGGCUUGGCGGCUACAGCUCCGAUUAGACCCCUAGCCUGGGUGUGGCCCUAGAAAAGGCAAAAAGACAAAAAAAAAAAAAGAAAGAAAGAAACAAAGAAAGUAUUUAGAUAGUGGAUGGAUGGAUGGUGGAUGAAUGAACAGAAUGGAAGGAAGAAGGGAAACUGGGAGAAAGGAUGGAAAAAAAGAAUCUGAGGUCCCCACGCUGCUGGGGUUUGGGGCUGUGGGGGCUGUGAGUAGGGGUGGAAGGAAUCCCAAUGCCCUUGCCAAGAUCGUGCCCUGAUAUUGGCAGGGACCCCUCAAAGCAGAAUCAUUCUAUUCAUCAUCAGUGAUUUUCAGUACCUGCUAUGUGCCAGGCGCCAGCAGUGCUCAAGGAGCCCUCAGGCACUGUCUCCAGGGCCAGACUGCUGGCGUCCAAAGCCCAGCAUUACCCCUACUGGAGACAUGACCUUGGACAUGAGUUUUUAAUGUUUUUCAUAUAAACAUGUCCAAACGUGAGUUUUCAACACGAGAAUUGAAUGGACACGUAACAAGUGCCAACACACAGCAGCCACUGUUUUCUUUACAUUGUUAUAAUACCCAGGGGGUUGGUGGAUUCCAGUCUUGUCUCAUCCGGGCCACAGUGGGCGAAUCUCAGUGUUCCUGUGUGUGCUCUUUACCUGCUGCCUUUCCCCCUCCCGGCCCCUAGCG